CUUUUUUCUCUUAUUUUAAGACCAAAAAGAAACAAAAUACAAGUCGUGCACAAAAAAAAAAAAAAAAAAAAAACAAAAUACAUCUCUAAGCAUGUGUUGAUUUGAUUAUCAAUCUGUACAAGAAUAUAAGUAACAUGAUACUUUUAAAAAUUACAACACCUCUACCAAUCUCUCAACAACCUCCCUUGUCAAGAUAUCGAAGAAAUAGAGAAGCAAUAAAAAGGUCCCUUGUUAAUUAUUUUUUUCGUAGAAAAUAAAAAAUGUCCCAUGUUAUCGGUUGAUGUAUCCUCCUAAUACCUCAUUUUAAAGCGUUACUGUUACGAACAUGUGAAGCAAAAAUACGGCGUUCGAGGAUCAACAGACCAACCACACGUAAGCGUGCUACAAUCUUACUUUCCGGCCAGCUAAACCAAAGGUAUUAUGGUUAAAAAAAAAUAAAAAAAAUUUGGUUUACAAGUCAUGAUAAUAUAAUUGUCUUUCUUUCUACAAAAUUUGGUAUAAUUUCUUUCUAAAUGUAAAGAGCUCAUUAAUUAAACUCUUCAAAUAAACGUUGCAUUUACUAGUAUCGGAAAACAAGCUAAAUAACUAUGGUUGAUAUUCUUUGAUGUAAUUGACGUAUAGUAGUUAGAUGAAAUUAGUCCUCCAGUCAAAAUGUUGAAUGGUGAACUAAAACUGUAGAGCGAUCAAAUCAUUUUUACAGGUACUGUUUUUUUAAUCCAUCAUAUCAAAUCUUUCAAAAGAAAAAAAAAUACUAACCAUUUGGAUAACGUGCGUUAAACCUGUUACCUCUACGUGCAGCAACAGAAAAUGUGAUGGUGACGAAUAACGUUGAUUACUUUGUAAUGUGCUCUAUAGGUGGAGCCUGCUCAUAACACUUGUAAGGCUACAAAAUGAACCUCGCUCUCUGCCUCUCUCUAUUCGUUAACCAUUCCUAAAUCGUGUAUAUAUAUAUAUAUAUAUCGUUAUAUCUUUUGUUUUUCUUUUUGGCAGCACCUUUUGUUUUGUUUAAACGCCUAAAAACGCCUUUGAUUGUUUUUCUUUUUAUUGAUAGGAUGAGAUAGGACAAUAAAUAC
Molecule: long non-coding RNA, 1073 nt
Filed under: Arabidopsis lyrata
Lineage: Eukaryota; Viridiplantae; Streptophyta; Magnoliopsida; Brassicales; Brassicaceae
Description: long non-coding RNA (ALYR_LNC002973)
Source: RNAcentral